AAUCUCUAAAUUGAAGCCUCAAAUCAGCCCUAAAUCAAGUCUUGAACACGAAUUAGUGAUCCUCAUCGCAAGAGGAUUAAGAGGCAAAGAGUCCGGAUCAUCAAGCGGACAAGCCGGAGGGAAUUCACGGGGAAAAGGCGCGCUUUAAAGCUUUCAGGUACCCAAGUGAAGGAUGAAGAUCAAGCAUGACAAUUCGAACCGAACACUCUAGCAAACGCUUCCGCAUAUAAUCUUUUGU
Molecule: long non-coding RNA, 238 nt
Organism: Helianthus annuus (common sunflower)
Lineage: Eukaryota; Viridiplantae; Streptophyta; Magnoliopsida; Asterales; Asteraceae
Exons: 3
Source: RefSeq, a predicted model, not a curated record